RNAcentral lists this ribosomal RNA (429 nucleotides) under Bacillota bacterium. RNAcentral describes it as "Firmicutes bacterium partial 16S ribosomal RNA". It matches the Rfam family "Bacterial small subunit ribosomal RNA", at positions 355 to 776 of the family's 1533-position model. Lineage: Bacteria; Bacillati; Bacillota. The record is from RNAcentral.
UAGGGAAUCUUCGGCAAUGGACGGAAGUCUGACCGAGCAACGCCGCGUGAGUGAAGAAGGUUUUCGGAUCGUAAAGCUCUGUUGUUAGAGAAGAACGUUGGUAGGAGUGGAAAAUCUACCAAGUGACGGUAACUAACCAGAAAGGGACGGCUAACUACGUGCCAGCAGCCGCGGUAAUACGUAGGUCCCGAGCGUUGUCCGGAUUUAUUGGGCGUAAAGCGAGCGCAGGUGGUUCUUUAAGUCUGAAGUUAAAGGCAGUGGCUUAACCAUUGUACGCUUUGGAAACUGGAGGACUUGAGUGCAGAAGGGGAAAGUGGAAUUCCAUGUGUAGCGGUGAAAUGCGUAGAUAUAUGGAGGAACACUGGUGGCGAAAGCGGCUUUCUGGUCUGUAACUGACGAUGAGGCUCGAAAGCGUGGGGAGCAAACAGG